UUUAUGGAGAGUUUGAUCCUGGCUCAGGAUGAACGCUGGCGGCGUGCCUAAUACAUGCAAGUCGAGCGAACGGAUGAGAAGCUUGCUUCUCUGAUGUUAGCGGCGGACGGGUGAGUAACACGUGGAUAACCUACCUAUAAGACUGGGAUAACUUCGGGAAACCGGAGCUAAUACCGGAUAAUAUUUUGAACCGCAUGGUUCAAAAGUGAAAGACGGUCUUGCUGUCACUUAUAGAUGGAUCCGCGCUGCAUUAGCUAGUUGGUAAGGUAACGGCUUACCAAGGCAACGAUGCAUAGCCGACCUGAGAGGGUGAUCGGCCACACUGGAACUGAGACACGGUCCAGACUCCUACGGGAGGCAGCAGUAGGGAAUCUUCCGCAAUGGGCGAAAGCCUGACGGAGCAACGCCGCGUGAGUGAUGAAGGUCUUCGGAUCGUAAAACUCUGUUAUUAGGGAAGAACAUAUGUGUAAGUAACUGUGCACAUCUUGACGGUACCUAAUCAGAAAGCCACGGCUAACUACGUGCCAGCAGCCGCGGUAAUACGUAGGUGGCAAGCGUUAUCCGGAAUUAUUGGGCGUAAAGCGCGCGUAGGCGGUUUUUUAAGUCUGAUGUGAAAGCCCACGGCUCAACCGUGGAGGGUCAUUGGAAACUGGAAAACUUGAGUGCAGAAGAGGAAAGUGGAAUUCCAUGUGUAGCGGUGAAAUGCGCAGAGAUAUGGAGGAACACCAGUGGCGAAGGCGACUUUCUGGUCUGUAACUGACGCUGAUGUGCGAAAGCGUGGGGAUCAAACAGGAUUAGAUACCCUGGUAGUCCACGCCGUAAACGAUGAGUGCUAAGUGUUAGGGGGUUUCCGCCCCUUAGUGCUGCAGCUAACGCAUUAAGCACUCCGCCUGGGGAGUACGACCGCAAGGUUGAAACUCAAAGGAAUUGACGGGGACCCGCACAAGCGGUGGAGCAUGUGGUUUAAUUCGAAGCAACGCGAAGAA
Molecule: ribosomal RNA, 986 nt
Filed under: Staphylococcus aureus
Lineage: Bacteria; Bacillati; Bacillota; Bacilli; Caryophanales; Staphylococcaceae
Description: bacterial SSU rRNA
Rfam family: Bacterial small subunit ribosomal RNA
Source: RNAcentral